UAUGAAGACCGUGACAACUGUACAGGGUUUGUACAACACAAAAUCACGUCAUUUUCUCAGGGAGGCCUCAAGUUGCUCUUGUGUUUUGAACGGCAGCCGUAUUGACUUCAUAAGGUGGUAGUAAGAAACUACUGCUCCCUCCACAAAUGUCUACGAACUCCAGAUCUUCUAUGAACUGGAAGAUUC
Molecule: long non-coding RNA, 186 nt
Organism: Sphaeramia orbicularis (orbiculate cardinalfish)
Lineage: Eukaryota; Metazoa; Chordata; Actinopteri; Kurtiformes; Apogonidae
Exons: 3
Source: RefSeq, a predicted model, not a curated record